AACGCAAAUUGCGCUCCUUGGUAUUCCGAGGAGCAUGCCUGUUUGAGUGUCAUGAAAUCAUCCACCUCACCUUUGGGCCUUUGUCCUCGGGUCCGGCUGGGACUUGGGUGCUUGCGCGUCGGAGAGACCCGCUCACCUGAAAGAUAUUCAUACUUGAUCCUGUCCGCUGACCGGUUUGACUUGGUGUUAUAAAUUAUUUCGCUGAGGACACUCGCAUGGGUGGCCGUUCGGUAGCUUGGUCUUGCCCUAAAGUGCGCCACACGUAGACGGGGCUACAACUUCUUGACAUCUGGCCUCAAAUCAGGUAGGACUACCCGCUGAACUUAA
This 327-nucleotide unclassified non-coding RNA is filed under the name uncultured Cabalodontia. RNAcentral's name for it is "partial contains 5.8S ribosomal RNA, internal transcribed spacer 2, and large subunit ribosomal RNA". The stretch from base 1 to 52 matches the Rfam family "5.8S ribosomal RNA", at positions 103 to 154 of the family's 154-position model. The record is from RNAcentral. Lineage: Eukaryota; Fungi; Basidiomycota; Agaricomycetes; Polyporales; Steccherinaceae.